CCCACUGCCUUCCUACCCACUUCCCCAUCAAGGGCUGAAUUUGUCCCCAGGCUUGCAGGGGCUGAGUAAGUCUGCUGUGAAAAGUGAUAUUUGUAUGUUUUAUCACUUUUCACAGCAGGAGACUUACUAGCUAGCAAGUCUAAAAAAAGCAUCC
Dermochelys coriacea (leatherback sea turtle) is the source of this 154-nucleotide long non-coding RNA. RefSeq lists it as uncharacterized. The transcript is spliced from 2 exons. NCBI's taxonomy places the organism in Eukaryota, Metazoa, Chordata, Testudines, Dermochelyidae. The record is from RefSeq and is a predicted model, not a curated record.